UACGUAGGGGGCAAGCGUUGUCCGGAAUCAUUGGGCGUAAAGAGCGUGUAGGCGGCUCGGUAAGUCCGCUGUGAAAGUCCGGGGCUCAACCCUGGAAUGCCGGUGGAAACUGUCGAGCUAGAGUCCGGAAGAGGCGAGUGGAAUUCCUGGUGUAGCGGUGAAAUGCGCAGAUAUCAGGAGGAACACCAAUGGCGAAGGCAGCUCGCUGGGACGGUACUGACGCUGAGGCACGAAAGCCAGGGGAGCAAACGGG
Molecule: ribosomal RNA, 253 nt
Filed under: uncultured bacterium
Lineage: Bacteria
Description: partial 16S ribosomal RNA
Rfam family: Bacterial small subunit ribosomal RNA
Source: RNAcentral